Pistacia vera is the source of this 722-nucleotide long non-coding RNA. RefSeq lists it as uncharacterized. The transcript has 3 exons. NCBI's taxonomy places the organism in Eukaryota, Viridiplantae, Streptophyta, Magnoliopsida, Sapindales, Anacardiaceae. The record is from RefSeq and is a predicted model, not a curated record.
AGCAGCUGUGGGUGUUGGAUACUUUUCCUGGCGAAGUGAGGGCUGAAAACAGUGAUGGUGGAGUAGAGAUUCUUCUGCAGUUCUUGCAAAGUUUACCUUCACAAGUCCCAUCUCAAAAGUGGCUUGUGAACCACAUGAUUGAGCUUUGGAUUCCCCAAAACCAGUGUCAGAGUGGAUCGGAAGCAACCUCAAGGAACCUGGAGAGCAUGAAACAUGGGCCUUUAAUCUUGAAGGUGCUGCAGAUGUUUAAUUCUUACCGGGAGACUUCUAAUUGGCCACUAUUGGAGCACCUUCCGGCUUCCACAAGGGAUGGAGAUAGAUAUUGUAUGAGCGGAGAAGAGUGACAUAUUGGAGCCAGAUGUGAUUCAGCGGCUUGAAGGCCUUGCAAGUAAAGUGAGAGAUGGACGGGAGGAUAAAGUUUCCGUACAUGUUCUACCCAAUUCAGGUCAUUGGGUUCAUGUGGACAAUCCUUAAGGGCUUCUUUAGAUUAUGGCUACUAAGUUAGCCUCUACUUAACCAUAUUUUAGUUUAGACAUCAGCAAAUAUAUAGAUAGCAUUUUCGCGAUUUAAUAUCCUAUCUUUAUUUCGUCAUAAAAUCUUGUUCACCUUCACUCAGGAUUUUGUUGAAUGAUCUGAUGAGUUGCCUACUUGCCUUUAUGUGACCUCAAAUAUCUGUUCACCUUCUGGGUUGAUUUACUAGUUAUGGCUUUCUUUAGUCUUAA